CCUCAGUUAGAGAAUACUCAGUUGGAGAGAAAAGGGGGCUGCAGUCUUGCUUACUCCUCCAGAAUAAGAGCUGUUGUUUAGUUCUUCUCAUUCCUGCCUGACUGUUUUUAUUGGACUUGAUGGUUGCUACACUACUGAUGAUUUCAGCAGUGUCAAAUGAGAAAGAAAGACACGAACUGAAGAAGCUGGAAACAAAGAGCAAGUAAAGUGAUGCAGCCAUGUAAAAGGAAAAAGAUGACUGUUCGCUGAACUCAUGCGGUGCACUUUAAACUAGCUUCGCCGAGGUAUAGGGUCACAGGAGGACUUGAGGACACCUCCCAACCAAGACAGGUGACGUGCACAAGGAGUACCCAGUGCUAGAGAACAUCCUCCAGGAGUGUACUUCUUCCACAUGCUGAAUCAACUGGACAUUGGCUUAUUUGCUCACAAGAAGGUGAAGGAAGUGACUUGCAUAUCAUGUGCCUUUGAGUUUGAAGUACCUUGUGAACUACCCAGUAGUCUCAUAUAGAUGUUAUCUAGGAGAUGGGACACGCUUAGCAGCCUUUCAUGAACUGUCACUUGGAAGCUACACAAAGGCUGGUAUUACUGUUUAUUUAAAGGUGAACAGCAGUCCUUGCACUAGUCUCUAAGCAGAAGGUAAAGACUAGUGUAGCAGGCUCACCUUUCAGAGCUUGGGUUGAGUCCCAGGCUUGAGAUCCUGCUGUUUUGAUUGGUGGAGCCCAUUCACCGAUCAGGAGGGAGCAGGAGAAA
Long non-coding RNA from Alligator sinensis (Chinese alligator), 750 nucleotides. RefSeq lists it as uncharacterized. Lineage: Eukaryota; Metazoa; Chordata; Crocodylia; Alligatoridae. The record is from RefSeq and is a predicted model, not a curated record. The transcript is spliced from 3 exons.